This 468-nucleotide ribosomal RNA is filed under the name uncultured bacterium. RNAcentral's name for it is "partial 16S ribosomal RNA". It matches the Rfam family "Bacterial small subunit ribosomal RNA", at positions 28 to 507 of the family's 1533-position model. The record is from RNAcentral.
GACGAACGCUGGCGGCGUGCUUAACACAUGCAAGUCGAACGGAAAGGCCCUGCUUUUGUGGGGUGCUCGAGUGGCGAACGGGUGAGUAACACGUGAGUAACCUGCCCUUGACUUUGGGAUAACUUCAGGAAACUGGGGCUAAUACCGGAUAGGAGCUCCUGCUGCAUGGUGGGGGUUGGAAAGUUUCGGCGGUUGGGGAUGGACUCGCGGCUUAUCAGCUUGUUGGUGGGGUAGUGGCUUACCAAGGCUUUGACGGGUAGCCGGCCUGAGAGGGUGACCGGCCACAUUGGGACUGAGAUACGGCCCAGACUCCUACGGGAGGCAGAAGUGGGGAAUAUUGCACAAUGGGCGGAAGCCUGAUACAGCAACGCCGCGUGCGGGAUGACGGCCUUCGGGUUGUAAACCGCUUUCGCCUGUGACGAAGCGUGAGUGACGGUAAUGAGUAAAGAAGCACCGGCUAACUACGUG